GAUGAACGCUGGCGGCGUGCCUAAUACAUGCAAGUCGAGCGAACAGACGAGGAGCUUGCUCCUCUGACGUUAGCGGCGGACGGGUGAGUAACACGUGGAUAACCUACCUAUAAGACUGGGAUAACUUCGGGAAACCGGAGCUAAUACCGGAUAAUAUAUUGAACCGCAUGGUUCAAUAGUGAAAGACGGUUUUGCUGUCACUUAUAGAUGGAUCCGCGCCGCAUUAGCUAGUUGGUAAGGUAACGGCUUACCAAGGCAACGAUGCAUAGCCGACCUGAGAGGGUGAUCGGCCACACUGGAACUGAGACACGGUCCAGACUCCUACGGGAGGCAGCAGUAGGGAAUCUUCCGCGAUGGGCGAAAGCCUGACGGAGCAACGCCGCGUGAGUGAUGAAGGUCUUCGGAUCGUAAAACUCUGUUAUUAGGGAAGAACAAAUGUGUAAGUAACUAUGCACGUCUUGACGGUACCUAAUCAGAAAGCCACGGCUAACUACGUG
This 497-nucleotide ribosomal RNA is filed under the name uncultured bacterium. Its description in RNAcentral is "partial 16S ribosomal RNA". It matches the Rfam family "Bacterial small subunit ribosomal RNA", at positions 28 to 507 of the family's 1533-position model. The record is from RNAcentral.